CCUACGGGAGGCAGCAGUGGGGAAUAUUGGGCAAUGGGCGCAAGCCUGACCCAGCAACGCCGCGUGAAGGAAGAAAGCUUCGGGUUGUAAACUUCUUUUCUCAGUGACGAAGCAAGUGACGGUACCUGAGGAAUAAGCCACGGCUAACUACGUGCCAGCAGCCGCGGUAAUACGUAGGUGGCAAGCGUUAUCCGGAUUUACUGGGUGUAAAGAGCGUGUAGGCGGGGACGCAAGUCAGUUGUGAAAACCACGGGCUCAACCUGUGGACUGCAUUUGAAACUGUGUUACUUGAGUACUGGAGAGGCAGACGGAAUUCCUAGUGUAGCGGUGAAAUGCGUAGAUAUUAGGAGGAACACCAGUGGCGAAGGCGGUCUGCUGGACAGCAACUGACGCUGAGGCGCGAAAGCGUGGGGAGCAAACAGGAUUAGAUACCCUAGUAGUC
Molecule: ribosomal RNA, 442 nt
Filed under: uncultured bacterium
Lineage: Bacteria
Description: partial 16S ribosomal RNA
Rfam family: Bacterial small subunit ribosomal RNA
Source: RNAcentral